AACCAUGUGACAAAAGAUUCUAAACCAGGGGUGGGCAAACUAUGGCCCGGGGGCUGCAUCUAGCCCUUUAGAUGUUUUAAUCCGGCCUUGAGCUCCCACUGGGGAGCAGGAUCCAGUUUGCCCUGUGCCAGCUCUCCAGCUGGGGAGUGGGGUUGG
Chelonoidis abingdonii (Abingdon island giant tortoise) is the source of this 156-nucleotide non-coding RNA. The record is from RefSeq and is a predicted model, not a curated record. NCBI's taxonomy places the organism in Eukaryota, Metazoa, Chordata, Testudines, Testudinidae.